This 922-nucleotide long non-coding RNA is filed under the name Marmota monax (woodchuck). The record is from RNAcentral. Lineage: Eukaryota; Metazoa; Chordata; Mammalia; Rodentia; Sciuridae.
CUUGGACAUUGUCAGCUCAGGCAUUCACCUUACAGAUUAUUGAGGACAACUUCUUCAUCUCAAAGACCAAGAAAUUAAGACCCAAAGAGGCCAAGGCGCGGCGACGAGGCUGGCUGGACCCAGCCAGGGCAGCGGGGCGAGCAGCGCGGAUAGGGCUCUUGGGGGCGCUCGCGGCAGGUGGGGCGCGCUGGCUCUGGGCCCUUUUAGCUCAGCUCCCUUGCUGGCUCCUGCCUAUCUUGGCAGCCAGGGAGGCAGCAGGAUAAGGCGGCGGCAGUGGCUGGACAUCAGACAGGGCUACGGAUCGGAACCAGGAGUGGAUCUGCUCCCUGUUCUGGUCCUGGACUAAUGGGAUCACCAGGGGCGGCCCAGUCACCGUCAUCAUUGAGGAGGCCCAGGAUACCCCUGGCUGCACCCCAUCACCAUCAAGGCCCUGGUCACAAGACAACACUGGUAGAGCUCAGAUUGCCCAAUGGCUGGGAGGAAGCAUAUACUCUUGGAGGUGCAAGAUCCUAUCUACAGAGGCUACCCCAGACGUGCUCUCUGUUGGAGAAAGAGUUCAAGAAAAUGAGCAGAAGCCCUCAAGGUCUCCUGAGGUCUGGGCUCCCAACUGGGGCACUGUCACUUCUACCACUUUCCCUUGGCAGAAGGUAGUCAUGAGGCCAGCUCAGAUUCAAGGACUGGAGACAUAGAUUGUUUUUUUGAUGGAAGAGGUUGCAAACUCACAUUGGAAAAGGUUGUUGAUUCAAGGAGGAAAUGAAAACUGGGACUUUUUAUUUUUGUCACCCAUAUAGCAUGUUAUGAAAGCAUUACUGAACCCAGCUGAAGUUUAUGAUUCCUCCUUCUCAAAUAACCAGGUAACACUUGGCCACAGGCAGAGUAUUAAUCAUAUACUCCUUUGAUUAUAUACAAAAAUUAAGUGGAC